RNAcentral lists this ribosomal RNA (301 nucleotides) under uncultured bacterium. RNAcentral's name for it is "partial 16S ribosomal RNA". It matches the Rfam family "Bacterial small subunit ribosomal RNA", at positions 509 to 807 of the family's 1533-position model. The record is from RNAcentral.
CAGCCGCCGCGGUAAUACGUAGGGUGCGAGCGUUAAUCGGAAUUACUGGGCGUAAAGCGUGCGCAGGCGGUUGCGCAAGACAGAUGUGAAAUCCCCGAGCUUAACUUGGGAACUGCAUUUGUGACUGCACGGCUAGAGUGUGUCAGAGGGGGGUAGAAUUCCACGUGUAGCAGUGAAAUGCGUAGAUAUGUGGAGGAAUACCGAUGGCGAAGGCAGCCCCCUGGGAUAACACUGACGCUCAUGCACGAAAGCGUGGGGAGCAAACAGGAUUAGAUACCCCUGUAGUCCCUGUCUCUUAUAC